This 301-nucleotide ribosomal RNA is filed under the name uncultured bacterium. RNAcentral's name for it is "partial 16S ribosomal RNA". It matches the Rfam family "Bacterial small subunit ribosomal RNA", at positions 509 to 809 of the family's 1533-position model. The record is from RNAcentral.
CAGCCGCCACGGUAAUACGGAGGGUGCAAGCGUUAAUCGGAAUUACUGGGCGUAAAGCGCACGCAGGCGGUCUGACAAGUCAGAUGUGAAAUCCCCGGGCUUAACCUGGGAACUGCAUUUGAAACUGUCAGGCUGGAGUCUUGUAGAGGGGGGUGGAAUUCCAGGUGUAGCGGUGAAAUGCGUAGAGAUCUGGAGGAAUACCGGUGGCGAAGGCGGCCCCCUGGACAAAGACUGACGCUCAGGUGCGAAAGCGUGGGGAGCAAACAGGAUUAGAUACCCCGGUAGUCCCUGUCUCUUAUAU